This 451-nucleotide ribosomal RNA is filed under the name uncultured bacterium. Its description in RNAcentral is "partial 16S ribosomal RNA". It matches the Rfam family "Bacterial small subunit ribosomal RNA", at positions 354 to 796 of the family's 1533-position model. The record is from RNAcentral.
GUGGGGAAUAUUGGACAAUGGGGGGAACCCUGAUCCAGCCAUGCCGCGUGUGUGAAGAAGGCCUUUUGGUUGUAAAGCACUUUAAGCGAGGAGGAGGCUACCGAGAUUAAUACUCUUGGAUAGUGGACGUUACUCGCAGAAUAAGCACCGGCUAACUCUGUGCCAGCAGCCGCGGUAAUACAGAGGGUGCAAGCGUUAAUCGGAUUUACUGGGCGUAAAGCGCGCGUAGGUGGCCAAUUAAGUCAAAUGUGAAAUCCCCGAGCUUAACUUGGGAAUUGCAUUCGAUACUGGUUGGCUAGAGUAUGGGAGAGGAUGGUAGAAUUCCAGGUGUAGCUGUGAAAUGCGUAGAGAUCUGGAGGAAUACCGAUGGCGAAGGCAGCCAUCUGGCCUAAUACUGACACUGAGGUGCGAAAGCAUGGGGAGCAAACAGGAUUAGAUACCCUGGUAGUCC